Non-coding RNA from Camelina sativa (false flax), 165 nucleotides. The record is from RefSeq and is a predicted model, not a curated record. Lineage: Eukaryota; Viridiplantae; Streptophyta; Magnoliopsida; Brassicales; Brassicaceae.
UAGAGCCUGUCUUAAGAGAAGAUAUUCAGAAGAUAUGGGAUUCUGUUCCAAAGCCUGAAGCACACAAGGACACUCCUCUAAGUGACUUCUUCAAUGUUGAAGUUGUUGCUCUUUCCAGUUAUGAGGAAAAGGAAGAACAGUUUAAAGAGCAGGUGUGUAUGUGAG